GAUGAACGCUGGCGGCGUGCUUAACACAUGCAAGUCGAACGGGAAACCUUUUAUUGAAGCUUCGGCAGAUUUAGCUGGUUUCUAGUGGCGGACGGGUGAGUAACGCGUGGGUAACCUGCCUUAUACAGGGGGAUAACAACCAGAAAUGGUUGCUAAUACCGCAUAAGCGCACAGGACCGCAUGGUCCGGUGUGAAAAACUCCGGUGGUAUAAGAUGGACCCGCGUUGGAUUAGCUAGUUGGCAGGGUAACGGCCUACCAAGGCGACGAUCCAUAGCCGGCCUGAGAGGGUGAACGGCCACAUUGGGACUGAGACACGGCCCAGACUCCUACGGGAGGCAGCAGUGGGGAAAAUUGCACAAUGGGGGAAACCCUGAUGCAGCGACGCCGCGUGAAGGAAGAAGUAUCUCGGUAUGUAAACUUCUAUCAGCAGGGAAGAUAGUGACGGUACCUGACUAAGAAGCCCCGGCUAACUACGUG
Molecule: ribosomal RNA, 478 nt
Filed under: uncultured bacterium
Lineage: Bacteria
Description: partial 16S ribosomal RNA
Rfam family: Bacterial small subunit ribosomal RNA
Source: RNAcentral